Molecule: ribosomal RNA, 253 nt
Filed under: uncultured bacterium
Lineage: Bacteria
Description: partial 16S ribosomal RNA
Rfam family: Bacterial small subunit ribosomal RNA
Source: RNAcentral
UACGUAUGGUGCAAGCGUUAUCCGGAUUUACUGGGUGUAAAGGGAGCGCAGGCGGCGCGGCAAGUCCGAUGUGAAAACCCCCGGCUCAACCGGGGGACUGCAUUGGAAACUACCGGGCUGGAGUGCCGGAGAGGUAGGCGGAAUUCCUGGUGUAGCGGUGAAAUGCGUAGAUAUCAGGAGGAGCACCAGUGGCGAAGGCGGCCUACUGGACGGUGACUGACGCUGAGGCUCGAAAGCGUGGGGAGCAAACAGG